GGGCCGUUAGCUCAGUUGGUAGAGCAUCUGACUUUUAAUCAGAGGGUCGCAGGUUCGAUCCCUGCACGGCCCACCA
Molecule: transfer RNA, 76 nt
Filed under: Gammaproteobacteria bacterium
Lineage: Bacteria; Pseudomonadati; Pseudomonadota; Gammaproteobacteria
Description: tRNA-Lys
Rfam family: tRNA
About the family: Transfer RNA (tRNA) molecules are approximately 80 nucleotides in length. Their secondary structure includes four short double-helical elements and three loops (D, anti-codon, and T loops).
Source: RNAcentral